GCAACGCCUCUAUUCCGGGCCCGAAGCGCGGAGAAGAGGCCUCCCAGUGAAGAUGGCAGCCCGGAACCACUAUCCCACUGGACCACCUCCUCACCGGACAGUCCUGCAGCAUCGGACCAGCGCCGAGCGGAGGUACACCGGAAGCUUCCAACCCUCCCAUCAGAAACCCACCAGAAGAGGUGGGAGAAGGCGACACAGGAAAAACAAGAAGCCAGAGAGCACAAACAGGGGAACCAACGUACACCUGUAGCCAAGAAAAGGACUUAAAUAUUGUGAUACAUUUUGGAAUUAUCUUCCCUACAACCGAGGAGACACUUCCUGCUCUGCUAGUCCAUUAUAAUUGAUAUCUCCUGUUAUAUUUGAACAUUUAAAUACAUAAUAAAUACACAGUAGUAUCAUUUUUUAAUAAUAUCUUUUCUGAAAGUUUCUUAGUGUUAUACAGGAUCGGAUGGGGCGCCAUGAGCUCAGUAUAGUGGAACAAACUUUAAUGGGUAGCUUCAUAUAAGAGGUUUAACCCCUUAAGCACCAAUACAAAUAAACCUGUACGCCCCUGAAAGACCAGGCCUGUUUUUUCAAAUCGGGGAUGUCUGCCAGAGAAUAACUCUGGUAACGUUUUGCCAAUCACGAUAAUUCUGACAUUGUUUUGUGUCACAAGUUGUCCUUCAUGUACAUAGUAAAAAGUAAGCCGAUAUCAUUUGUAGUUUUUUUUUUUUUUACAAUGCAAAAAAUCAUGAAAUUUUAUAUAUAUUUAUACUUACUGACCAAAGAGUUUAUGAAACUUAUACUUUCAGAUGACUACUUUAUUUUGACAGCUUUUUUUUGUUUUUA
This is a long non-coding RNA of Hyla sarda, 828 nucleotides long. RefSeq lists it as uncharacterized. The transcript is spliced from 3 exons. Lineage: Eukaryota; Metazoa; Chordata; Amphibia; Anura; Hylidae. The record is from RefSeq and is a predicted model, not a curated record.